This 460-nucleotide ribosomal RNA is filed under the name uncultured bacterium. RNAcentral's name for it is "partial 16S ribosomal RNA". It matches the Rfam family "Bacterial small subunit ribosomal RNA", at positions 338 to 795 of the family's 1533-position model. The record is from RNAcentral.
CCUACGGGCGGCAGCAGUGAGGAAUAUUGGUCACUGGGCGAGAGCCUGAACCAGCCAAGUCGCGUGAAGGAUGACGGCCCUACGGGUUGUACACUUCUUUUGUCAGUGCGCACUUGAGUCCACGUGUUUUCUUAGCGAGCGUACCUGAAGAUAACGCAUCGGCUAACUCCGUACCAGCAGCCGCGGUAAUACGGAGGAUGCGAGCGUUAUCCGUAUUUCUUGGGUUAAAAGGGUGCGUAGGCGGAAUAUCAAGUCAGCGGGAAACAUUCGGGGCUCAACCCCGUCGUGCCGUUGAAACUGAUGUUAUUGAGUGGGCGAGAAGUAUGCGGAAUGCGUGGUGGAGCGGUGAAAUGCAUAGAUAUCACGCAGAACACCGAUUGCGAAGGCAGCAUACCGGCGCCCAACUGACGCUGAAGCACGAAAGCGUGGGGAGCGAACAGGAUUAGAUACCCCGGUAGUC